GACGAACGCUGGCGGCGUGCUUAACACAUGCAAGUCGAACGGAAAGGCCCUGCUUUUGUGGGGUGCUCGAGUGGCGAACGGGUGAGUAACACGUGAGUAACCUGCCCUUGACUUUGGGAUAACUUCAGGAAACUGGGGCUAAUACCGGAUAGGAGCUCCUGCUGCAUGGUGGGGGUUGGAAAGUUUCGGCGGUUGGGGAUGGACUCGCGGCUUAUCAGCUUGUUGGUGGGGUAGUGGCUUACCAAGGCUUUGACGGGUAGCCGGCCUGAGAGGGUGACCGGCCACAUUGGGACUGAGAUACGGCCCAGACGCCUACGGGAGGCAGCAGUGGGGAAUAUUGCACAAUGGGCGGAAGCCUGAUGCAGAAGCGCCGCGUGCGGGAUGACGGCCUUCGGGUGGUAAACCGCUUUCGCCUGUGACGAAGCGUGAGUGACGGUAAUGGGUAAAGAAGCACCGGCUAACUACGUG
This 468-nucleotide ribosomal RNA is filed under the name uncultured bacterium. RNAcentral's name for it is "partial 16S ribosomal RNA". It matches the Rfam family "Bacterial small subunit ribosomal RNA", at positions 28 to 507 of the family's 1533-position model. The record is from RNAcentral.